This 377-nucleotide unclassified non-coding RNA is filed under the name uncultured bacterium. RNAcentral's name for it is "contains 16S-23S intergenic spacer region". The record is from RNAcentral.
UCCGGUUUGACACCGGCAGUCUCCCUAGAGUGCCCGGCAUAACCCGCUGGUAACUAGGGACGAGGGUUGCGCUCGUUGCGGGACUUAACCCAACAUCUCACGGCACGAGCUGACGACAGCCAUGCAGCACCUGUGCGGGCUCCUGAAGGAGGACCGUGUUUCCACGGCUUCACCCCGCAUGUCAAGCCCUGGUAAGGUUCCUCGCGUACCAUCGAAUUAAACCACAUGCUCCGCUGCUUGUGCGGGUCCCCGUCAAUUCCUUUGAGUUUUAGCCUUGCGGCCGUACUCCCCAGGCGGGGCACUUAAUGCGUUAGCUCCGGCACGGGAGGAGUCGACACCUCCCACACCUAGUGCCCAUCGUUUACGGCGUGGACUAC